Molecule: ribosomal RNA, 461 nt
Filed under: uncultured bacterium
Lineage: Bacteria
Description: partial 16S ribosomal RNA
Rfam family: Bacterial small subunit ribosomal RNA
Source: RNAcentral
CCUACGGGUGGCAGCAGUGAGGAAUAUUGGUCAAUGGACGCAAGUCUGAACCAGCCAAGUAGCGUGCAGGAUGACGGCCCUCCGGGUUGUAAACUGCUUUUAGUUGGGAAUAAAAGGGGGCUCGUGAGCCCCGUAUUGUAUGUACCAUCAGAAAAAGGGCCGGCUAAUUCCGUGCCAGCCGCCGGGGUAAUACGUAGGGAGCGAGCGUUGUCCGGAAUUACUGGGUGGAAAGGGAGCGUAGGCGGGGAUGAAGGUUGGGUGGUAAAUCCAGCGGCUCAACUGGGAGUCGCAGUCAAGACUGUGGAUCUUGAGUGAAGUAGAGGCAGGCGGAAUUCCUAGUGUAGCGGUGAAAUGCGUAGAUAUUAGGAAGAACACCAGUGGCGAAGGCGGCCUGCUGGGCUUUUACUGACGCUGAGGCUCGAAAGUGUGGGGAGCAAACAGGAUUAGAUACCCCUGUAGUC